RNAcentral lists this ribosomal RNA (451 nucleotides) under uncultured bacterium. RNAcentral's name for it is "bacterial SSU rRNA". It matches the Rfam family "Bacterial small subunit ribosomal RNA", at positions 340 to 784 of the family's 1533-position model. The record is from RNAcentral.
UACGGAAGGCAGCAGUGGGGAAUAUUGCACAAUGGGCGCAAGCCUGAUGCAGCCAUGCCGCGUGUAUGAAGAAGGCCUUCGGGUUGUAAAGUACUUUCAGUCGUGAGGAAGGUGUUAAGGUUAAUAACCUUAGCAAUUGACGUUAGCGACAGAAGAAGCACCGGCUAACUCCGUGCCAGCAGCCGCGGUAAUACGGAGGGUGCGAGCGUUAAUCGGAAUUACUGGGCGUAAAGGGCACGCAGGCGGUUAAUUAAGUUGGAUGUGAAAUCCCCGGGCUUAACCUGGGAAUGGCAUUCAAGACUGGUUAGCUAGAGUCUUGUAGAGGGGGUAGAAUUCCAUGUGUAGCGGUGAAAUGCGUAGAGAUGUGGAGGAAUACCGGUGGCGAAAGGCGGCCCCUGGACAAAGGACUGACGCUCAUGUGCGAAAGCUGGGGAGCAAACAGGAUUAGAUA